RNAcentral lists this ribosomal RNA (253 nucleotides) under uncultured bacterium. RNAcentral describes it as "partial 16S ribosomal RNA". It matches the Rfam family "Bacterial small subunit ribosomal RNA", at positions 524 to 776 of the family's 1533-position model. The record is from RNAcentral.
UACAGAGGUCUCAAGCGUUGUUCGGAUUCAUUGGGCGUAAAGGGUGCGUAGGCGGCGCGGUAAGUCGGGUGUGAAAUCUCGGAGCUUAACUCCGAAACUGCAUUCGAUACUGCCGUGCUUGAGGACUGGAGAGGAGACUGGAAUUUACGGUGUAGCGGUGAAAUGCGUAGAUAUCGUAAGGAAGACCAGUGGCGAAGGCGGGUCUCUGGACAGUUCCUGACACUGAGGCACGAAGGCCAGGGGAGCGAACGGG